Molecule: transfer RNA, 69 nt
Filed under: Brisinga sp. SS-2022
Lineage: Eukaryota; Metazoa; Echinodermata; Asteroidea; Brisingida; Brisingidae
Description: tRNA-Trp
Rfam family: tRNA
About the family: Transfer RNA (tRNA) molecules are approximately 80 nucleotides in length. Their secondary structure includes four short double-helical elements and three loops (D, anti-codon, and T loops). Further hydrogen bonds mediate the characteristic L-shaped molecular structure. tRNAs have two regions of fundamental functional importance: the anti-codon, which is responsible for specific mRNA codon recognition, and the 3' end, to which the tRNAs corresponding amino acid is attached (by aminoacyl-tRNA synthetases). tRNAs cope with the degeneracy of the genetic code in two manners: having more than one tRNA (with a specific anti-codon) for a particular amino acid; and 'wobble' base-pairing, i.e. permitting non-standard base-pairing at the 3rd anti-codon position.
Source: RNAcentral
AGAGAUUUAAGUUAAUAAAACUAAAAGCCUUCAAAGUUUUAAAUAAGAAUUAAAUUUUCUUAGUCUUUA